This 541-nucleotide ribosomal RNA is filed under the name uncultured Desulfurococcales archaeon. RNAcentral describes it as "bacterial SSU rRNA". It matches the Rfam family "Archaeal small subunit ribosomal RNA", at positions 721 to 1260 of the family's 1478-position model. Lineage: Archaea; Thermoproteati; Thermoproteota; Thermoprotei; Desulfurococcales. The record is from RNAcentral.
GAACCGGAUUAGAUACCCGGGUAGUCCCGGCUGUAAACGAUGCGGGCUAGGUGUUGGGCGAGCGUGAGGGCCCGCCCAGUGCCGCAGGGAAGCCGUUAAGCCCGCCGCCUGGGGAGUACGGCCGCAAGGCUGAAACUUAAAGGAAUUGGCGGGGGAGCACCACAAGGGGUGGAGCCUGCGGCUUAAUUGGAGUCAACGCCGGGAACCUCCACCGGGGGCGACAGCAGGAUGACGCCCAGGCUGAAGGCCUUGGCCGACACGCUGAGGGGAGGUGCAUGGCCGUCGCCAGCUCGUGCCGUGAGGUGUCCUGUUAAGUCAGGCAACGAGCGAGACCCCCGCCCCUAGUUGCUACCCCAGGGGAGACCCUGGGGGCACACUAGGGGGACUGCCGCCGCCAAGGCGGAGGAAGGAGGGGGCAACGGCAGGUCAGCAUGCCCCUAAACCCCCGGGCUGCACGCGGGCUACAAUGGCGGGGACAGCGGGUUCCGACCCCGUAAGGGGAAGGCAAUCCCUGAAACCCCGCCUCAGUUGGGAUCGAGGG